GGGGACAUAGCUCAGUUGGGAGAGCAACAGACUGAAGUUCGGGUAGUCAACCUAAAUUUUCUCUUCUGGAGGUCCCCAGUUCAAUCCUGGGUGUCCCCA
Molecule: non-coding RNA, 99 nt
Organism: Hymenopellis radicata
Lineage: Eukaryota; Fungi; Basidiomycota; Agaricomycetes; Agaricales; Physalacriaceae
Source: the annotation of a GenBank genome assembly